UAUAGUUUCAAAAGCUUUGAC
RNAcentral lists this non-coding RNA (21 nucleotides) under Mus musculus (house mouse). Lineage: Eukaryota; Metazoa; Chordata; Mammalia; Rodentia; Muridae. The record is from RNAcentral.